Molecule: ribosomal RNA, 137 nt
Filed under: uncultured delta proteobacterium
Lineage: Bacteria; Deltaproteobacteria
Description: partial 16S ribosomal RNA
Rfam family: Bacterial small subunit ribosomal RNA
Source: RNAcentral
UGGGGAAUUUUGCGCAAUGGGCGAAAGCCUGACGCAGCAACGCCGCGUGAGUGAUGAAGGCCUUCGGGUCGUAAAGCUCUGUCAGUGGGAAAGAAGGGUAUUGUGGCUAAUAUCCGAGAAUAAUGACGUCCCCAAGA